RNAcentral lists this small nuclear RNA (367 nucleotides) under Aotus nancymaae (Ma's night monkey). Its description in RNAcentral is "7SK RNA (ENSANAG00000009161.1)". The stretch from base 1 to 294 matches the Rfam family "7SK RNA". Rfam says of the family: 7SK was discovered as an abundant small nuclear RNA in the mid-70s but a possible function has only recently been suggested. The record is from RNAcentral. Lineage: Eukaryota; Metazoa; Chordata; Mammalia; Primates; Aotidae.
GGAUGUAAGGGCGAUCUGGCUGAGACAUCUGUCACGCCACUGAUCACCAGGGUUGAUGUGGCUGAUCUGGCUGGCUGGGGGCAUGUCCCCUUUCUCCCUCACCACUCCAGGUGUGUCUGUCCCAAAGCUGCGUGCUCCGUCAAAGAGGAUGACCACCCCCGAUAGAGGAGGGCCGGUCUUUGGUCAAGCAUAUGCAAGUAGCAGCGCUCACCUGCUAGAACCUCCAAACAAGCUCUCAAGAAGAGGCCGGGGGACUAGUUCCCUCUCUUUCUGCCAUGUGAGGACACAAUAAGAGGUCAGGAGUUUGCAACCCAGAAGAAGGUCAUCAUCAGAACCUGGGCAUGCCAGUGCCCUGAUCUCGGAUUUC